UACGUAGGGUGCGAGCGUUAAUCGGAAUUACUGGGCGUAAAGCGUGCGCAGGCGGUUCGAUAAGUCUGAUGUGAAAUCCCCGGGCUCAACCUGGGAACUGCGUUGGAAACUGUCGAGCUAGAGUGUAGAAGAGGGGGGUAGAAUUCCACGUGUAGCAGUGAAAUGCGUAGAGAUGUGGAGGAAUACCGAUGGCGAAGGCAGCCCCCUGGGCUAACACUGACGCUCAUGCACGAAAGCGUGGGGAGCAAACAGGAUUAGAUACCCUGGUAGUCCACGCCCUAAACGAUGUCUACUAGUUGUUGGUGGAGUAAAAUCCAUUAGUAACGCAGCUAACGCGUGAAGUAGACCGCCUGGGGAGUACGGUCGCAAGAUUAAA
This 376-nucleotide ribosomal RNA is filed under the name uncultured bacterium. RNAcentral describes it as "bacterial SSU rRNA". It matches the Rfam family "Bacterial small subunit ribosomal RNA", at positions 524 to 898 of the family's 1533-position model. The record is from RNAcentral.